Ribosomal RNA from Lepisosteus oculatus (spotted gar), 119 nucleotides. Lineage: Eukaryota; Metazoa; Chordata; Actinopteri; Semionotiformes; Lepisosteidae. The record is from Rfam.
GCCAGCAGCCAUAUCACUCUGCAGCUCACAACUGGCAACCCACUGAAGCUAAGCAGGUGUGAGCCUGAUCAAUACCUGGAUGGGAGACCUCCUGGGAAAAACUAAGGUGGCUGCUGGAA